Drosophila subpulchrella is the source of this 2620-nucleotide long non-coding RNA. RefSeq lists it as uncharacterized. NCBI's taxonomy places the organism in Eukaryota, Metazoa, Arthropoda, Insecta, Diptera, Drosophilidae. The record is from RefSeq and is a predicted model, not a curated record. The transcript has 3 exons.
AUGUGGCAGUCAAAUUUAAGUUUUGGGUCCAGAAGAACGCCUAAGUCAUUAACGGAAUAUAUACGGUCGAGUGACGUAUUUUGAAGAGAGUAAUUAACAAAAGUAGGAGUACCCCUAUACCUGUCUGUCUACCUGUCUUUGGGGUGUCUUUUACCAAGUAAUGGCUCCUUUCGUGGACUUCUAGCAUUAAAAUUUUCAUCUAACAGACUUCGGAAAAUAGUGCCAUCACUGAUUCCCAAGCUCAGAGUCGCUUUUAUAGUGUUGCAGGGUGCAAAAGGAUAAGCUUUGCUGAAGCGCACUAUGCGUACGCCCUCUACAAGUGUGGUUUUCCGAAUUGCAUCACGUUUUUCGGGCAUCGGAUCAUAAUUCAUGGCAUUGUAAACCAUAUUGGCUGGAGAUUUUAGGGGACACUGAACAUGUUGAUACGUUUUGCCCUCCUUUCUAAGCUUAAUCAUUAUUUCCUUUCUCCCUUGAAGCAAUGAGAUCCUCUACCCACUAAAGCUAAUUUUUUUCUAUAGUUAUAGUGUAUUAUCGUUCAAUUUAUUAUAAUGGCCUUAAUUAAACCCGAUUUUCAUCAAGUUACAAACAUUUUCGGGACUUUUCCUGGAAGAAAAUCAAAAACUGCUAUUUCAGUGAACAGCCAAAAUAUUGUGCCCUUGUGCAAAAUAUGAAAAUAACCCAAAAACAGACCAAAUCUAAUGGGGCUUUUGCUUGUUUUGUAUCUCUAUGAUCCAUUCUACAAAAUAAAUGUAGUAGCGAUCAACUAACAAAAGGGACUAUGCUUAUAAAAAGUUAUAUAGUUUCGACUCUGCCGCACUGCUAUUUUAAUGAACACAGCUGUAGAUACUCACCCGCCAGCGGCAACAAGUAGGAUACUCUGAAGACCCGGUUGUUCGAUAAGUUUGCAAAGUCAGCCGAAUCAAAGCUACGCCGUUUACUUUAAGGAGGAGCAGGUUCUGGUCUGAAACCUUCGCUCCUGAGUCAAGCAGCUAGUCAAUAAUUCGCGCACUAUUCCUUGCCGAGAUACCUUAAAGCAUUCGCCCUAUUUUAACGAUAUGGGAGGAGAACGAUCUCAAGAAACUUGGAAGUCCUUGUCACACCGUUCACACUAUACUUGGCCUCAACAUGCCGUCCGGUCUAAAGAACGCAACGCAAAUGUUCCAAAGAUUUAUCGUGGCGUCAAUUUCGUUUAUUGCUAUAUAGACCUGAUCAUGUCUAAUCCACCUAAGGAACACGACCAACAUUUUCGUGUCGGCGGUCAUAAGCUACCACUUGGUUUUUUUUUUUUUUUUUUUAAGAAUCUCCUUGUAUGGGUAUUUUACUCAGGACCACCCGAAUAUCUUGGAAAACAAGAAAUAUUUCGUGGAAAUUUCACAAAGUUAAGUUUUGUGUUCCUGUGUUAUUAGGCUAGCCGAAAUAUCGAGUAUACAGACCUAAAAACUAACAAGUUUUUGAGUUACUCCCUGUCACUAGGCUUAAUGGCCAACAAAUUUAAAAAUAAGAGAGAACUCUAUAGCUAUCUAUCAGAUGCGCGUUACUCAAAUAAGGGGAGGAAGGGAGAUGGAGAUCUGCAAGCAGCAAAGCGACUGUUCCCAAGAUGGCACACUACGCCACUCAGUCACAUAGCGUCGAUUCCUUUAUUUGCUUAUAACUAUUUAACGAAUGGUCAGAUUAAUAGAAUGUACAUUUAAAUUUAAAUUCAAUACAUAUUUACAAAUUUGUGUACCACAAAUUUAUAUUUUUUAAAAAUGUGGUUUCUAGACAGGUUUUAGCGUCAUGGCCGUUUGUGGGCGUGGCACCCUGCUGAAAUAAACUUGUGCUGCGCAAAAGCCUCUAGAAUCUUCAGGCGUAGUCCCAACUUUAUAUCUCUUAUGGUUUUUAAGAUAUCAGCGCUUACGGGCGGACAGACGAACAUGGCUAGAUCGACUUUGCUAACGAUCCUGAUCAAGAACAUAUAUACUUUAAAAGGUCGGAAACACUUCCUUCUUCCGAUUACAUACCAAUUUACUCUACAGAACGGGUAUAAAACUGUGGUUUUCUUUAUCCAAUGUUUAUACGUUAUUGAUGAAAUGGCAAGGCAGCAGGUUAGACCACAAAUUCUCUAUUGGAUUGAGAUGGGGGUACUAACAACAACCAACUCCUUUGGCGGUCCGAUGCUCCAACUAUGUGAAUGCCACGGUAAAUGACACAACCCUAAAAUGGUGGUGCUUUUCCAGAGAAUGAUUAUUAUAUGUAUUACCUCAAUACUUUUUAGAGCAUCAUUUGGGCCCAAACCAUUUCGCUGCCGCCGCCACGCUGUAAUGCUCCUUCAGACUAUGAAAUAUUCAUCUUUAAAUACAUACAUGUAUAUUUUAAACCUAGCUACAUUUAAAUUUCUGUAGUACCGUUUUCUCAUCUUAAUAAAACGCUUGAGAAAUAUUAGUAUAAAGUGUUGCUUCGUACACUUUUAUCAAAAAGAAACAAGUCCUGUAUGUACAAUGUACAUAGAUUCACCAAUUUAAAGCAGGGAUGCUUAAAAUAUGCACUACGAAAUUUUAUGUGUGACCCAUAGUAUGUUAACGUUUAUGUAAAUAAUAAUCAAUUUUGUGGUUAGCUAUUUUUUCUAAUAAAAAUCAUAAAU